GGGCACAUGCCCCCACUUAAACAUUUAUUUUCUCUUCUCCGUGCCCCCCCUCCUUCGACACUCCCCUUCUUUCUUUCAUUUCUUCUUUUUAUUUCUUCCUAACAACAACACUAAAAAUCCUCUCUUCUCUUCCCUUCUCUACUACAAUUCCUCAUCUCUUCUCCUUGCAUCAACCACCCUAUAUCAUCAAACUCACCUUUAUCAUCUUGCUUUCUUUUCUUCUCUAUUCUACCUCUUUUAUUCAAAAUCUUAUUUUCUCAAAACCUCCAAAUCAUGUGAUUUCAACUUAAUGAGUGAAGGAACCAUUCAAUCCUUGAGUUCCAAUUAUUAUUGAGACUUUAAGAGUUGUAGAAUUUUUGGACAUCAAUUGGUAGCUCGUUGACGCGCUCAGAGUUGCUUCCGGUUCUUUGGAAUCAAGUUAUACGGGAGUCAUUCCAGGUUCCAUUCCACCUGCUCCUCAGUAGAUCAUAGUCAUUUUGGUGAGCCCUUCUUCUUUCCAAGGGCUAAGUAUUAUGUAAUGGAACCUUUGCUCAAAAUUUAGAUUAUGUCAAUGCUCCAUAUGCCACAGGCAGGAUCCUCGUG
Molecule: non-coding RNA, 582 nt
Organism: Arachis ipaensis
Lineage: Eukaryota; Viridiplantae; Streptophyta; Magnoliopsida; Fabales; Fabaceae
Source: RefSeq, a predicted model, not a curated record